CACGUAGGGUGCGAGCGUUGUCCGGAAUUAUUGGGCGUAAAGAGCUCGUAGGCGGUGUGUCGCGUCGGCCGUGAAAACCUGCAGCUUAACUGUGGGCUUGCGGUCGAUACGGGCAUCACUGGAGUUCGGCAGGGGAGACUGGAAUUCCUGGUGUAGCGGCGAAAUGCGCAGAUAUCAGGAGGAACACCGGUGGCGAAGGCGGGUCUCUGGGCCGAUACUGACGCUGAGGAGCGAAAGCGUGGGGAGCGAACAGG
RNAcentral lists this ribosomal RNA (254 nucleotides) under uncultured bacterium. RNAcentral's name for it is "partial 16S ribosomal RNA". It matches the Rfam family "Bacterial small subunit ribosomal RNA", at positions 524 to 776 of the family's 1533-position model. The record is from RNAcentral.